RNAcentral lists this ribosomal RNA (588 nucleotides) under uncultured bacterium. RNAcentral describes it as "bacterial SSU rRNA". It matches the Rfam family "Bacterial small subunit ribosomal RNA", at positions 338 to 916 of the family's 1533-position model. The record is from RNAcentral.
CCUACGGGAGGCAGCAGUGGGGAAUUUUGGACAAUGGGGGCAACCCUGAUCCAGCCAUGCCGCGUGAGUGAAGAAGGCCUUCGGGUUGUAAAGCUCUUUCGGCCGGAACGAAAUCGCGCACGUGAAUAACGUGCGUGGAUGACGGUACCGGAGUAAGAAGCACCGGCUAACUACGUGCCAGCAGCCGCGGUAAUACGUAGGGUGCGAGCGUUAAUCGGAAUUACUGGGCGUAAAGCGUGCGCAGGCGGUUCGCUAAGUCAGACGUGAAAGCCCCGGGCUUAACCUGGGAACGGCGUUUGAAACUGGCGGGCUCGAGUACGGCAGAGGGGGGUGGAAUUCCACGUGUAGCAGUGAAAUGCGUAGAUAUGUGGAGGAACACCGAUGGCGAAGGCAGCCCCCUGGGCCGAUACUGACGCUCAUGCACGAAAGCGUGGGGAGCAAACAGGAUUAGAUACCCUGGUAGUCCACGCCCUAAACUAUGUCAACUAGUUGUCGGGGAAGCAAUUCCUUGGUAACGCAGCUAACGCGUGAAGUUGACCGCCUGGGGAGUACGGGUCGCAAGAUUAAAACUCAAAAUGAAAUUGACGG